UCAGGUGAUGACAGCAUAAGGGCUCCACCUCUUCCCAUUCCGAACAGAGAAGUUAAACCUCACCACGUCGAUGAUACUGCGAAAGUGGGAAAGUAGAUAACCGCCCCUU
Molecule: ribosomal RNA, 109 nt
Filed under: Klebsiella pneumoniae
Lineage: Bacteria; Pseudomonadati; Pseudomonadota; Gammaproteobacteria; Enterobacterales; Enterobacteriaceae
Source: RNAcentral